GACGAACGCUGGCGGCGCGCUUAACACAUGCAAGUCGAACGGAAAGGCCUGCUUUCCCUUGUGGAUUGCGGGUACUCGAGUGGCGAACGGGUGAGUAACACGUGAGUGAUCUGCCCCCAACUUGGGUAUAAGCCUGGGAAACUGGGUCUAAUUCCCGAUAGGACUGCAGGGUGGUGCCUGUGGUGGAAAACGAUUUUCUAGUGGUUGGGGAUGAGCUCGCGGCCUAUCAGCUUGUUGGUGGGGUAAUGGCCUACCAAGGCGGCGACGGGUAGCCGGCCUGAGAGGGUGGACGGCCACAUGGGGACUGAGAUACGGCCCAGACUCCUACGGGAGGCAGCAGUGGGGAAUAUUGCACAAUGGGCGGAAGCCUGAUGCAGCGACGCCGCGUGGGGGAUGACGGCCUUCGGGUUGUAAACUCCUUUCGACCGCGAGGAAGCCACCUGGUUGGAAGGGUGGUGACGGUAGUGGUAGAAGAAGCACCGGCUAACUACGUG
RNAcentral lists this ribosomal RNA (494 nucleotides) under uncultured bacterium. RNAcentral's name for it is "partial 16S ribosomal RNA". It matches the Rfam family "Bacterial small subunit ribosomal RNA", at positions 28 to 507 of the family's 1533-position model. The record is from RNAcentral.